CCCGGUGAGGUUUUAACGGCCGCAGUUAGAAGCUGUGCUAAGGUAGCGUAGUAAGUUGUCCUUUAAAUGGGGAAAGGAAUGAAUGGUUUGACGUGAGGGAUUCUGUCUCAAGAAAGGGGCAAAAACUUUUCUUCCCAGUGAAAAGCCUGGGAUGAACUUAAAAGACGAGAAGACCCUUUCGAGCUUGAUUAGGCUUUAAAAGUUUUUAAGGUGGAAGUUUGGUUGGGGCAACUUAGGAGCAAACUGAGACUCCUUAGGUUUAUACCGAUCCAAAAAUUUUGAAUAAAGAAAAAGCUACCGUAGGGAUAACAGCGUUAUCUUUUCUGAGAGAACAAAUUGAAGGAAGGGUUUGCGACCUCGAUGUUGAAUUAAGGUUUCCGUUGGGCGUAGA
This 391-nucleotide ribosomal RNA is filed under the name Scintilla cf. timoriensis UM302913. RNAcentral's name for it is "partial 16S ribosomal RNA". It matches the Rfam family "Archaeal large subunit ribosomal RNA", at positions 1954 to 2628 of the family's 2987-position model. The record is from RNAcentral. Lineage: Eukaryota; Metazoa; Mollusca; Bivalvia; Galeommatida; Galeommatidae.